This 198-nucleotide non-coding RNA is filed under the name Gottschalkia acidurici. RNAcentral describes it as "Clostridium acidurici T-box sequence". It matches the Rfam family "T-box leader". From Rfam's summary of the family: Uncharged tRNA acts as the effector for transcription antitermination of genes in the T-box leader family. T-boxes are found upstream of many aminoacyl-tRNA synthetase genes and some amino acid biosynthetic genes usually in Gram-positive bacteria. Lineage: Bacteria; Bacillati; Bacillota; Tissierellia; Tissierellales; Gottschalkiaceae. The record is from RNAcentral.
AUACAUGCAAUGAAGGGAAAUAGUAGAUAUAUAAAUAUCUUAAGAGAGCCAAUGGUUGGUGAGAAUUGGUGAUGUUUUGUAUUGAAUCCGUCCCAGAGCUUUUACUUAAAAGGUAAACCUUGCAGAGGGUUAAUCUGCAUAAAGUGAACCAUUUAUGGUUAACUAGGGUGGCAACGCGGGUAAUAUCUCGUCCCUAAU